UAUUAAAAAUUUCAUCCAGUUAUGCUGUUAAAAACAGGUGUGGCUGACGCAAUAACCAGACAGUGCCACGUGGCAUGCCACGUAUACCUCAUGUGAUGUAUAGGGACCAUUUUUUAAUAGUAGAAAUGGAUGGAAUUUUUAACC
This 144-nucleotide microRNA precursor is filed under the name Gossypium hirsutum (cotton). Its description in RNAcentral is "MIR7502 microRNA precursor family". It matches the Rfam family "MIR7502 microRNA precursor family". Lineage: Eukaryota; Viridiplantae; Streptophyta; Magnoliopsida; Malvales; Malvaceae. The record is from Rfam by way of RNAcentral.